CAUCGGAGCCUCACACAAGCCGACAGAGGACAAUUUCAGUGUGACAGAAGAGGACUGCCCGUCUGACCGCUAUGGACAAAAUCGGAUGCAUCAGGAAUGUCUAAGAGUUGGAUUUUGGUAACAGGGCACCUGUACAAUGGAGUGUCUGAUCACCUGCAUAGGAGGUGGGGGGCUUACAAAAUGCAAUGGAACUGCAGUUCGGUCACCUACAUAUACAGUACAGCCGGGGUGGUGACGGCCUGCCAUCUGAUGACAAUAAUAGAUCUGUAAAUCUACGACUGAGGAUGCUGCUUGUCGUUCUAUGACAGACUGAGCUGCAGGAAACAUUUGGAAUAAGAGACCCCAGCAUGGGCUUAUGGCAAGAAAAGAGCUAGAAAAUAUGAAGACGGAACUUACCGGUGGUCCAGGAGGGCCUGGAGGCCCGGCAGGCCCUGGAUUCCCAGUGUGACCCUGCAAUCAGAAAGAGGAAUACACUAUUCUUACAUUGAUAAAUAAUACAUGUUACUUGUGUUUGACUACACACAAUGGGGGACAUA
Pseudophryne corroboree (corroboree frog) is the source of this 536-nucleotide long non-coding RNA. RefSeq lists it as uncharacterized. The record is from RefSeq and is a predicted model, not a curated record. NCBI's taxonomy places the organism in Eukaryota, Metazoa, Chordata, Amphibia, Anura, Myobatrachidae. The transcript has 3 exons.